Molecule: non-coding RNA, 1080 nt
Organism: Rattus norvegicus (Norway rat)
Lineage: Eukaryota; Metazoa; Chordata; Mammalia; Rodentia; Muridae
Source: RefSeq, a predicted model, not a curated record
CACACACGAGUUAAGAGAAUGGUUCUCCAAAAGGCAUUGGGGUGGAAGGCCAGGUAGGCUCUGAAGCAUACACCUACACCCUUCCCUCCGUGCCGUUCCUGUCCUCAAAGAAGAAAAACUUAAACAAAUAAAUAAACAAAAAAAGCAGCCAAGCAGGGCAGCCGCACCCAGCGUCCUGGCUGCGGCAGGAACAUUCCGUCUCGGAGCUCCAGUGGGUCUCUGUUUGUGCAGGCAGAGCUGUCUGACGCCAUUGCCCGCAAGCUGGCAUUUCUGUCCUGGAGCCUCAGCGCCAUGGCCCAACCCUCCUCCGGGGGCUGGGCCUUUCAGGACUACGUCUGCAGGCAUUGUGCUGGUAAGCUGACAGCGGGUCAGUACUGGGGUCGGCUGAACCCUUCGCCAUCCUAGAGAUGUCACUGCCCCUCACCCCUCAGAGUAGCAGAGAGCUUGGAGAAGCCCUGACAGCAUCCUGUACACAAGGAUGCGGGAGAUUCCUCAUCUUGACUGCAGCCUGCUCUCCCUUCGACAGAGAGAAGCAAAGACCUCGUGCCACAGGGCCCAGUGGAGACAAGGUGAUGCCUCAUGCGGGACUAAAGGAAGAGUGGACACACAACUGCCUGGGCUGGUGAUCACCUUCAUUAACACCAAAUCCUCUCAACUGGGAUCAGUGCGUGGUGAGCGGCUCCUCUGAACCCUUCCAGCGUCGGGAACAGCCUGGACUGGCAGAAACACCCACAAACGUAAUUAGCCCAGGAAGCCGAGCUGCGUCACCCUCACCCUCACACGGGCUCUGAAGCUCCGGUGUUUGCGGCUUCGUGCUCAUUCCCAUGCUUAUUUUUUAAGGCUUCCUGUCUGGUUGCCUGUCUUGAGGUGUCCCUGGGGACUCAAAUGAUGUGUGUCGACAUUCUCCUGAAGUUACAGAAGUCCUUCAUGACCCAAAUUUAAAAUAUCAUCUCCCAGGGGCUGGGGAUUUAGCUCAGUGGUAGAGUGCUUACCUUGGAAGCGCAAGGCCCUGGGUUCGGUCCCCAGCUCCGAAAAAAAGAACCAAAAAAAUAAAAUAAAAUAAAAUAUCAUCUCCCCAGA